This 586-nucleotide ribosomal RNA is filed under the name uncultured bacterium. RNAcentral's name for it is "partial 16S ribosomal RNA". It matches the Rfam family "Bacterial small subunit ribosomal RNA", at positions 355 to 1375 of the family's 1533-position model. The record is from RNAcentral.
UGGGGAAUUUUGGACAAUGGGCGAAAGCCUGAUCCAGCAAUGCCGCGUGUGUGAAGAAGGCCUUCGGGUUGUAAAGCACUUUUGUCCGGAAAGAAAUCCUUGGCUCUAAUACAGUCGGGGGAUGACGGUACCGGAAGAAUAAGCACCGGCUAACUACGUGCCAGCAGCCGCGGUAAUACGUAGGGUGCAAGCGUUAAUCGGAAUUACUGGGCGUAAAGCGUGCGCAGGCGGUUUGCUAAGACCGAUGUGAAAUCCCCGGGCUCAACCUGGGAACUGCAUUGGUGACUGACAGGCUAGAGUAUGGCAGAGGGGGGUAGAAUUCCACGUGUAGCAGUGAAAUGCGUAGAGAUGUGGAGGAAUACCGAUGGCGAAGGCAGCCCCCUGGGCCAAAUACUGACGCUCAUGCACGAAAGCGUGGGGAGCAAACAGGAUUAGAUACCCUGGUAGUCCACGCCCUAAACGAUGUCAACUAGUUGUUGGGGAUUCAUUUCCUUAGUAACGUAGCUAACGCGUGAAGUUGACCGCCUGGGGAGUACGGUCGCAAGAUUAAAACUUAAAUGAAUUGACGGGGUCAUAGCUGUUUCCU